GAACCAGUGUGGUGUAGUGGUUUGAGUGUUGGACUAUGACUCCAGAGACCAGGGUUUGAUUCCCAGCUUGACCA
Molecule: transfer RNA, 74 nt
Filed under: Phrynosoma platyrhinos (Desert horned lizard)
Lineage: Eukaryota; Metazoa; Chordata; Lepidosauria; Squamata; Phrynosomatidae
Description: tRNA-OTHER
Source: RNAcentral